Molecule: ribosomal RNA, 271 nt
Filed under: uncultured bacterium
Lineage: Bacteria
Description: partial 16S ribosomal RNA
Rfam family: Bacterial small subunit ribosomal RNA
Source: RNAcentral
UACAGAGGGUGCAAGCGUUGUUCGGAAUUAUUGGGCGUAAAGCGCGUGUAGGCGGUUUGAUUAGUCUGAUGUGAAAGCCCUGGGCUCAACCCAGGAAGUGCAUUGGAAACUGUCAGACUUGAAUACGGGAGAGGGUAGUGGAAUUCCUAGUGUAGGAGUGAAAUCCGUAGAUAUUAGGAGGAACACCGGUGGCGAAGGCGGCUCUCUGGACCAAUACUGACGCUGAGGCGCGAAGGCGUGGGUAGCAAACAGGAUUAGAAACCCCUGUAGU